AUUGAACGCUGGCGGCAGGCCUAACACAUGCAAGUCGAGCCGGUAGAGAGAAGCUUGCUUCUCUUGAGAGCGGCGGACGGGUGAGUAAUGCCUAGGAAUCUGCCUGGUAGUGGGGGAUAACGUUCGGAAACGGACGCUAAUACCGCAUACGUCCUACGGGAGAAAGCAGGGGACCCUHHCGGGCCUUGCGCUAUCAGAUGAGCCUAGGUCGGAUUAGCUAGUUGGUGAGGUAAUGGCUCACCAAGGCGACGAUCCGUAACUGGUCUGAGAGGAUGAUCAGUCACACUGGAACUGAGACACGGUCCAGACUCCUACGGGAGGCAGCAGUGGGGAAUAUUGGACAAUGGGCGAAAGCCUGUAUCCAGCCAUGCCGCGUGUGUGAAAGAAGGUCUUCGGAUUGUAAAGCACUUUAAGUUGGGAGGAAGGGCAGUUACCUAAUACGUGAUUGUUUUGACGUUACCGACAGAAUAAGCACCGGCUAACUCUGUGC
RNAcentral lists this ribosomal RNA (490 nucleotides) under uncultured Gammaproteobacteria bacterium. RNAcentral describes it as "bacterial SSU rRNA". It matches the Rfam family "Bacterial small subunit ribosomal RNA", at positions 30 to 508 of the family's 1533-position model. The record is from RNAcentral. Lineage: Bacteria; Pseudomonadati; Pseudomonadota; Gammaproteobacteria.